Molecule: long non-coding RNA, 2037 nt
Organism: Brassica rapa (field mustard)
Lineage: Eukaryota; Viridiplantae; Streptophyta; Magnoliopsida; Brassicales; Brassicaceae
Source: RefSeq, a predicted model, not a curated record
ACUAAAAGCAAGAUAUGCUCAAUAGAGAGAGUGUCCACGUCAUUUAAUUAAAUCAACCAAUCAAGAGCUUCUAAAUUGCCAUGUCAUUGUUACUCGAAACAGAUUUUUUUGUGGGCCAAUUCACGUGAGCGUCUUAAAUUGGAAAGCUAUGGCCCAUUUUUACCAGACCAAGCUUCCUUACAAACACACAUCUGAGUCGUCUCUUGCUCUUCCCCUUAAUAAUCAUCGUUUCUGAUUUCUACAAUUCACAGUUUCUUUGUAUUUAUCACUGUGCACUCACACUCAUUCAAUUACGAUAUUUUCUCCAAUCUAGAUGAGGAAGCUAUCCUUUCACCUCCCUUUCAUUGAAGCUCACAUUCAACCAUAUUCGACAACCUCUGUUCUACUGGCGAUGAAAUCGGUUCGAAACUCUGGUAAGUCUCGGUAAGACUCGAUUUUAUUACACUCUUAUUUUUCAUCUUAGAUAGUUAAUUUAUUUUACUACCCUAAACUUUCUAGAGAGCAAACGAAGCCCUGAACGAAAUCAGAGAAAGAAGAUCAGACUAUGAAUCUGAGAAUAUGAAAGAUGACGAAAACAGGUUGAAUGCUGUCACCUAAAGGGUUUCGUCUGUAUUUGUAUUUGAUUCUUGGAUCUGAGGUAUGAUUUAUUGUGCCUCUUCAUUAGCAGAGAUCUGGCAGAUAACAAAGCCAUCGAGUUUUGGAUCCUACAUUUGGCAAGAGCCUAUCGACGAAAUAGGUAUGAUAUUGUCAUCGUCUCUCUGUAUUAAAUUGAUGACACUUUGGUGAUGAUAUAUUUAAAGAUGAUUGGAAACAUGAUAUAUCUUCUCAUACUAUUUUUUCGAGGGAGUGUUUUGAAGCUGUCCCCCGAACCUGAUAUAUCUUCUCGAUGGAAAUUCCAAUAAUUAUUGAUGGUUGAAUCAUCACAAACUUCACUAACUCAGAAGAUAAACGAUAACCGGUCGAAAACCAAAGCAGCCCUCUUUGAUGUAAUCAGAAGUGGAUCUACAUCCUUUGCCAACUAUCUGAAACCAACAAUCAGUUUGCAACCUGACCCGAUCAAGUGCUUAAAGAAAAGAAACAAGAGUCUUGAGCAAAACUUGAUUUUUGGAACUCAACUCCAAGAUUGGUUUGAGCCGGUAAAGAAGAAAAUCAAAGCAACCACCCCAUUCAAAUAUUUUGCAUCAUGAACGUGCCUCUCAAUCUCAGGGGAGACUGUUUGGGUAAAAUGAAUAGAUUUUGGAAUCCUUUCGCUUAUUUCCCCUUUCAUUCUAUGGCAGAAGCUCAAUUUUGAUGAAUAGUUCAAGCUGUUGUCAUGGCUGGACUUAAUGGCAAGUUUUUCUCCUACACAAUUAGUUCUUUAAUUUUUUUUCCUUCACCAGCUGCACUGCGAUCUAACCUGUGAUAUGUCCUCUUAUAUUAGACUGAGAGGCACCAGCUAGAUUAUCAAUGAACUUCUCUUAGUUUACCUGUUUUUACAAUUUUGUUUUCUUUAUGUGCGGUGAGAAUGGACAUAAGAGUAUCACUGUAGGUAAAGUAUCAAGUUUUGUCUUUAAUACGUUGUGUACAUGGGAAUCUAGAUGGAUAUGACUUUGAAGGUAUUCCUUAGAUUUCACACCAAAACAAAUGUGUUUAUAUCUGUGUUUGUGUUUUCAUUCAUCUUACCGUGUUCUAAAUAAUGUUUUUGGAUCAUAGUUUUGGACUGAAAAUAUAUUCAAAAUUUCCCUAAUUGGUAUAUAAAAAUUUAUUUUUUAAUAACAGUGUAAUAACCUCAUUGUAUUUUUAAAUAGUAAUUUUAAAACCAACUAAUAUAUAAUAAUAAAAUUUAAAUAAAUUGUGAAUAUCUAUUGAAAAUAUUUUAAUUAUCAUUUUACACUGAAUUUUAGUCCAGAAUAAUAUUUUAGUAUAGCUAGAUUGUGAGAUAUUUGUUUUUGUCUAUAACUAAACAAAUAAUAUAGUAAUAAUAAUUGCUGACAAAAAAUAUAGUAAUAAUAAUAUUUUCAUAUAAUUUUCAGUGUAUUUAACAUAUACAAAAAAAUU